RNAcentral lists this unclassified non-coding RNA (331 nucleotides) under soil metagenome. RNAcentral's name for it is "partial contains 5.8S ribosomal RNA, internal transcribed spacer 2, and large subunit ribosomal RNA". The stretch from base 1 to 120 matches the Rfam family "5.8S ribosomal RNA", at positions 35 to 154 of the family's 154-position model. The record is from RNAcentral.
GAUGAAGAACGUAGCGAAAUGCGAUAAGUAAUGUGAAUUGCAGAAUUCAGUGAAUCAUCGAAUCUUUGAACGCACAUUGCGCCCCCUGGUAUUCCGGGGGGCAUGCCUGUUCGAGCGUCAUUUCACCACUCAAGCCUCGCUUGGUAUUGGGCAACGCGGUCCGCCGCGUGCCUCAAAUCGACCGGCUGGGUCUUCUGUCCCCUAAGCGUUGUGGAAACUAUUCGCUAAAGGGUGUUCGGGAGGCUACGCCGUAAAACAACCCCAUUUCUAAGGUUGACCUCGGAUCAGGUAGGGAUACCCGAUGAACUUAAGCAUAUCAAUAAGCGGAGGA